UAACCUGCCCAAGAGAUCGGGAUAACACCUGGAAACAGAUGCUAAUACCGGAUAACAACAGAUGAUGCCUAUCAACUGUUUAAAAGAUGGUUCUGCUAUCACUCUUGGAUGGACCUGCGGUGCAUUAGCUAGUUGGUAGGGUAACGGCCUACCAAGGCGAUGAUGCAUAGCCGAGUUGAGAGACUGAUCGGCCACAUUGGGACUGAGACACGGCCCAACUCCUACGGGAGGCAGCAGUU
Molecule: ribosomal RNA, 239 nt
Filed under: uncultured Lactobacillus sp.
Lineage: Bacteria; Bacillati; Bacillota; Bacilli; Lactobacillales; Lactobacillaceae
Description: partial 16S ribosomal RNA
Rfam family: Bacterial small subunit ribosomal RNA
Source: RNAcentral